UACAAUUGGCCAAACCUCCUUGUCAAAUCAUGAUCCCUCAGAUCUCAGGGCUGGGCCUGGUUAGUACUUGGAUGGGAGACCGCUGGGAAUAUCAGGUGCAGUCGCAA
Molecule: ribosomal RNA, 107 nt
Filed under: Periophthalmus magnuspinnatus
Lineage: Eukaryota; Metazoa; Chordata; Actinopteri; Gobiiformes; Gobiidae
Source: RNAcentral